RNAcentral lists this ribosomal RNA (919 nucleotides) under Pseudoalteromonas arctica. Its description in RNAcentral is "bacterial SSU rRNA". It matches the Rfam family "Bacterial small subunit ribosomal RNA", at positions 71 to 992 of the family's 1533-position model. The record is from RNAcentral. Lineage: Bacteria; Pseudomonadati; Pseudomonadota; Gammaproteobacteria; Alteromonadales; Pseudoalteromonadaceae.
GAAAGAAGCUUGCUUCUUUGCUGACGAGCGGCGGACGGGUGAGUAAUGCUUGGGAACAUGCCUUGAGGUGGGGGACAACAGUUGGAAACGACUGCUAAUACCGCAUAAUGUCUACGGACCAAAGGGGGCUUCGGCUCUCGCCUUUAGAUUGGCCCAAGUGGGAUUAGCUAGUUGGUGAGGUAAUGGCUCACCAAGGCGACGAUCCCUAGCUGGUUUGAGAGGAUGAUCAGCCACACUGGGACUGAGACACGGCCCAGACUCCUACGGGAGGCAGCAGUGGGGAAUAUUGCACAAUGGGCGCAAGCCUGAUGCAGCCAUGCCGCGUGUGUGAAGAAGGCCUUCGGGUUGUAAAGCACUUUCAGUCAGGAGGAAAGGUUGGCGGUUAAUACCCGUUAGCUGUGACGUUACUGACAGAAGAAGCACCGGCUAACUCCGUGCCAGCAGCCGCGGUAAUACGGAGGGUGCGAGCGUUAAUCGGAAUUACUGGGCGUAAAGCGUACGCAGGCGGUUUGUUAAGCGAGAUGUGAAAGCCCCGGGCUCAACCUGGGAACUGCAUUUCGAACUGGCAAACUAGAGUGUGAUAGAGGGUGGUAGAAUUUCAGGUGUAGCGGUGAAAUGCGUAGAGAUCUGAAGGAAUACCGAUGGCGAAGGCAGCCACCUGGGUCAACACUGACGCUCAUGUACGAAAGCGUGGGGAGCAAACGGGAUUAGAUACCCCGGUAGUCCACGCCGUAAACGAUGUCUACUAGAAGCUCGGAGCCUCGGCUGUGUUUUUCAAAGCUAACGCAUUAAGUAGACCGCCUGGGGAGUACGGCCGCAAGGUUAAAACUCAAAUGAAUUGACGGGGGCCCGCACAAGCGGUGAGCAUGUGUUUUACUUCGAUGCAACGCGAAGAUCUUACCUACUCUUGACAUACAGA